This 270-nucleotide ribosomal RNA is filed under the name Levilactobacillus brevis. RNAcentral's name for it is "Lactobacillus brevis partial 16S ribosomal RNA". It matches the Rfam family "Bacterial small subunit ribosomal RNA", at positions 16 to 258 of the family's 1533-position model. Lineage: Bacteria; Bacillati; Bacillota; Bacilli; Lactobacillales; Lactobacillaceae. The record is from RNAcentral.
AAUCUGGCUCAGGACGAACGCUGGCGGCAUGCCUAAUACAUGCAAGUCGAACGAGCUUCCGUUGAAUGACGUGCUUGCACUGAUUUUAACAAUGAAGCGAGUGGCGAACUGGUGAGUAACACGUGGGAAAUCUGCCCAGAAGCAGGGGAUAACACUUGGAAACAGGUGCUAAUACCGUAUAACAACAAAAUCCGCAUGGAUUUUGUUUGAAAGGUGGCUUCGGCUAUCACUUCUGGAUGAUCCCGCGGCGUAUUAGUUAGUUGGUGAGGU